This 253-nucleotide ribosomal RNA is filed under the name uncultured bacterium. RNAcentral's name for it is "partial 16S ribosomal RNA". It matches the Rfam family "Bacterial small subunit ribosomal RNA", at positions 524 to 776 of the family's 1533-position model. The record is from RNAcentral.
UACAGAGGUCUCAAGCGUUGUUCGGAUUCAUUGGGCGUAAAGGGUGCGUAGGUGGCGCCGUAAGUCGGGUGUGAAAUUUCGGAGCUUAACUCCGAAACUGCAUUCGAUACUGCGGUGCUUGAGGACUUGAGAGGAGACUGGAAUUCAUGGUGUAGCAGUGAAAUGCGUAGAGAUCAUGAGGAAGACCAGUGGCGAAGGCGGGUCUCUGGACAGUUCCUGACACUGAGGCACGAAGGCCAGGGGAGCAAACGGG